AUUUAUAGUACUCAUAACUUUAAAGUUAUCAACUAUUCAAAAAGAAAACCUCUAAAGGAAAUUCUGUUGUGAUGAAAUCAUUGCUUAACAUUAGAGUUAUUUAAGAUCCACAUUUAUUGAUGAAGAUCCACAUUAUAUGUGAUGAAGCAAUAACAAGUAAACCAAUUGUUUCAAGCUUACUUGUGAUAAUAUAGUAUAAAGUAUGAAUUGGAUCUGCGUAUGUUCUGAGACCUAUAUAAUAUACAUGUGUUUGUGUCCAUAAAUAAAUUAUUGAGCUUUUGGAAUCAGAGGUUGAGGCAAGUUACCAAGAAUUUCUCAGUUUUAGCUAUAAAAUCCAUUAGCUUGCAGAAUUAUUGUUUGGUUCAGUAUCUAGAGCACCCAGAGUGUGGCAAUUUUAGAUUUUCCUUAAUUGAUAAUAGUAGUGAGUUAUGAUGGCAACUAGGGUUACUAGAUUUAACAGAUGGAAAAAGCAAAUGGACAGUAAAAUAAGAAAAUCUUUAAAAGCAGUGUCAGAACUGUUUGGCAUAGGUGCAAAUAAUGUGUGUACUUGAAUGACCUGAGAAGAUAUAAUUUUUAAUAUUUAUUAUGUUGGCCUGUCAAAAGUUGAAAUUUCUGCAUAUUCAAUUCUAGAUCUGAUAAACAGUGUGAUUUAGUGUACUGAAUACCAAGAAAUUCUUAACUGGUGACUUUGCUUGUUUAUAUUACUUCAUUGUUUAUUUACUCUUAACUUUGGCCAGAUUAGCAAGUACUCUUAAUUUAUACUAGUUUUGUUAUUAUCCUUUUUUACUAUUAGGCUUAAAAAAAUCUGUUGGUACCAAAACUACUUCAUUCCCCAAGGUACUAAAUAGAGGAGCUCUAAUUUUUAUGCAUCUUUCCCAGUAUUAAACACUAUAUAGGAAGAGUUGGUCAGAUACAUAAUUGAGGCGGGCGCCAUGGCUCACACCCAUAAAUCCUAGCAGGUUGGGAGGCUGAGGCAGGAGAAUUGUGAGUUCAAAGCCAGCCUCAGCAACUUAGUGAGGCCCUGUCUAUAAAUAAAAUAUAAAAAAGGGCUGGGGAUGCGCCCUGCUAUCAAAAUAAAUAAGGAUAUGAAAUAGAACAGCUCCUACUAAGAUCACUUUCACAGUUUCACUUUUACUGCUAACAAUAUCAAUCAAACCCAUUACAAAUAAACAUCAUUUUAAAGUUUCCAUGUCUCCUUAAUCUGUAGUUCUGGAAAUCAAAUUUUUUAUACUAAUAUAAUUAUGAGCACUUAUUUGCAAUUAAUGCUUUAUGUGGACUUAUGUCUGUUUUAUCAUAGAUUUUAUUCCUAUGGGGUAAAACUUCUAAAAUUCUGGUACUGAGAAACUAUUACAUAUACUUUGUUCCUUAAAAAUAAAACUCAAAUAUAUUUUGCACACUUUUGAUACAAUCUUUAUUUAUUUUUUAGUUUUAGGUCGAUACAAUAUCUUUAUUUUAUUUUUAUGUGGUACUGAGGAUCGAACCCAGUUCUUCAUGCAUGCUAGGCAAAGUACUCUACCUCUGAGCCACAACCCCAACCCCUUGACAGAAGCUUAACCAGAUAAAGUAUAAUUAUAUCAGCAGCCACAAUAGAAAAUUAUCACAAAGUAAAAUAAAAAUAAAAUAAAAUAUUAUUUUAUUUUGUGAUGCUGGGAUUAAACCAGGGCUUUGUAUAUGCUAG
RNAcentral lists this long non-coding RNA (1678 nucleotides) under Marmota monax (woodchuck). The record is from RNAcentral. Lineage: Eukaryota; Metazoa; Chordata; Mammalia; Rodentia; Sciuridae.